GUAGGUCCCGAGCGUUGUCCGGAUUUAUUGGGCGUAAAGCGAGCGCAGGCGGUUUGAUAAGUCUGAAGUUAAAGGCUGUGGCUCAACCAUAGUUCGCUUUGGAAACUGUCAAACUUGAGUGCAGAAGGGGAGAGUGGAAUUCCAUGUGUAGCGGUGAAAUGCGUAGAUAUAUGGAGGAACACCGGUGGCGAAAGCGGCUCUCUGGUCUGUAACUGACGCUGAGGCUCGAAAGCGUGGGGAGCGAACAGGAUUAGAUACCCUGGUAGUCCACGCCGUAAACGAUGAGUGCUAGGUGUUGGAUCCUUUCCGGGAUUCAGUGCCGAAGCUAACGCAUUAAGCACUCCGCCUGGGGAGUACGACCGCAAGGUUG
Molecule: ribosomal RNA, 370 nt
Filed under: uncultured bacterium
Lineage: Bacteria
Description: bacterial SSU rRNA
Rfam family: Bacterial small subunit ribosomal RNA
Source: RNAcentral